GAUGAACGCUGGCGGCGUGCUUAACACAUGCAAGUCGAACGGAAAGGCUCCUGCUUGCAGGGGUACUCGAGUGGCGAACGGGUGAGUAACACGUGGGUGAUCUGCCCUGCACUUCGGGAUAAGCCUGGGAAACUGGGUCUAAUACCGGAUAGGACGAUGGUUUGGAUGCCAUUGUGGAAAGUUUUUCGGUGUGGGAUGAGCUCGCGGCCUAUCAGCUUGUUGGUGGGGUAAUGGCCUACCAAGGCGUCGACGGGUAGCCGGCCUGAGAGGGUGUACGGCCACAUUGGGACUGAGAUACGGCCCAGACUCCUACGGGAGGCAGCAGUGGGGAAUAUUGCACAAUGGGCGCAAGCCUGAUGCAGCGACGCCGCGUGGGGAAUGACGGCCUUCGGGUUGUAAACUCCUUUCGCUAGGGACGAAGCGCAAGUGACGGUACCUGGAGAAGAAGCACCGGCUAACUACGU
RNAcentral lists this ribosomal RNA (464 nucleotides) under uncultured bacterium. Its description in RNAcentral is "partial 16S ribosomal RNA". It matches the Rfam family "Bacterial small subunit ribosomal RNA", at positions 28 to 506 of the family's 1533-position model. The record is from RNAcentral.